AAGUAUAGAUUUUUAACUGGGGAAAGAGACACUUUAAGUCUACCUGACCAUGACUAGAUCAUUGUAACAGAAGGAACUCAGUCCUUAGAAUUAAGCUGCCUGAGGUUUGAAUCUGGCUUUACCAUUUACUAACCUUGUGAUCAUGGGCAGUUUAUUCAUCUUCCAGAGUCUACAUUUGACCAUUAUAAAAUGGCCACAUUUUUCUGAAACUGCAAGUUGGAUGAGAACGUCACAUGGAAAGUGUUCAAUGAAUGUCCCCUUUCCCUUCAGAGAGCAGGGUACACGAGGAGAGAGCCUGAACAUACUGCAAUGUUCCUCUAAGUGCUAGAAUAUUCUGUUCCUUUGGCUUAUUUCCAGUCUUUAUAGAGAGAGAGAACUCAGUCAACAUUGGCCAUUUCCUGUCUGCUUGCCAGCUACCUCUGAGAGGCAAAGAUUCCAGAGCCAGGUGCUUUUUGUUUUCUUUGUCUUUCUCUAUUCUAUACAUGUGUGUGGCUACACAUACACACACAUACACAAACACACACACACACAGUUCCAGACCCUGGGAUGGAUAUUAGAGGUACAAUAGAGAUUAAGGUACAGUUCCCGCCCUCGAGCAGCUGGUGUAAUUGGUGAGAUACAUAUUUUUAAAAGCUGACAAUUUCAGCGGCAGAAUGCUUUGGGAGCCUUAGAAGAGGCAUCCAAGUCAGUCUGGGUUUUUCUAGAAAAGCUUCCUGAGUGGGAGGACGCCUGAGUUGAAUCCUCAAAGACCAGUGGGUGUUAUCCAGGAAAAAAAGGAAACAGCCUGUGCGAAGACACAAAGAAAUGAGAGCAUUUUUAAUUGUCUCUAAGAACUAAUAAUUGAUAAGAAGUAUAGUAUGAUUGUGAGGAGGCAAGAAAUGAGAUUUGAGGGAUACUCGGCAGCCCCCUCACAAUAGAUCCUUUAAAUCUUGCUAAACUUUGGACUCUACCCUUAAUGUUAUGGUGCUGGUGUGAUGGUGAUGGUAGGAUGCAGGACAGACUAAUGAGGAUAUUGAACAGGAAAUGACAUAAUCACAUAUGGAUAGAGUAUAG
This 1053-nucleotide long non-coding RNA is filed under the name Macaca mulatta (Rhesus monkey). RNAcentral describes it as "lncRNA (ENSMMUG00000051691.1)". The record is from RNAcentral. Lineage: Eukaryota; Metazoa; Chordata; Mammalia; Primates; Cercopithecidae.